AACGAACGCUGGCGGCAGGCUUAACACAUGCAAGUCGAACGGUUGCAGCAAUGCAGCAGUGGCAGACGGGUGAGUAACACGUGGGAACCUUCCUAGGGGUAUGGAACAACUCAGGGAAACUUGAGCUAAUACCGUAUACGUCCGUGAGGAGAAAGAUUUAUCGCCCUUAGACGGGCCCGCGUCGGAUUAGCUAGUUGGUGGGGUAACGACCUACCAAGGCGACGAUCCGUAGCUGAUCUUAGAGGAUGAUCAGCCACACUGGGACUGAGACACGGCCCAGACUCCUACGGGAGGCAGCAGUGGGGAAUCUUGGACAAUGGGCGCAAGCCUGAUCCAGCCAUGCCGCGUGAGUGAAGAAGGUCUUCGGAUUGUAUAGCUCUUUUGCCAGGGACGAUAAUGACGGUACCUGGAGAAUAAGCCCCGGCAAACUUCGUGCCAGCCGCCGCAGUAA
This 451-nucleotide ribosomal RNA is filed under the name uncultured bacterium. Its description in RNAcentral is "partial 16S ribosomal RNA". It matches the Rfam family "Bacterial small subunit ribosomal RNA", at positions 29 to 523 of the family's 1533-position model. The record is from RNAcentral.